Long non-coding RNA from Bombus terrestris (buff-tailed bumblebee), 3307 nucleotides. RefSeq lists it as uncharacterized. The transcript is spliced from 3 exons. NCBI's taxonomy places the organism in Eukaryota, Metazoa, Arthropoda, Insecta, Hymenoptera, Apidae. The record is from RefSeq and is a predicted model, not a curated record.
CCGUGCCAUGCGGGCACGUAUGCUCGUGUUACAUUUGCAUACGCGAACACAACCGAGCAAAGACAGGUGUACAACAAAGGGAUACCUUUUGUGCGGGCCUUUCCGUACGUCCACGACCUUUUAAGCGAUACGCCUUGUCAAGCUGGCUGCGUCAACUUUUCGCAAUCGGACACGACGAUAUAGUUCGUGACGCUGGCAACUAUUUGGAAAAAUCUGGGACAUUCUGUAUAUGUAGCGUGAACGAGCCAAAUGACACACCCUGUAUAACACGUCCAUUUCUCAAGUAACAGGAAUCUUGUUCGGUUAUUUCAAAGAGAGUGCGUAAUUACCCUCGGUUCUUCAUUUCAACUCGUCGAGUAAGAGCUACCGGCCUGUAGCUUCCGAACCCUUUGUCGCUACUCGAAACAAUACCAUGCAACGCGUCGUGCGACAUAUGGCUAACAACGGGAAAGGAAUAAAGUGGAGAAUCGAUACCUUGGAGAGAUAACAAUUUGCGUCAGAGUCAGACGUCACAUUGUUCGAUCGUUUUACACGAUAUUUGAAAUUUACGGUGCUGCAUUCGUGCGACGACUUAUGCUGUGUCAUGGAGCUCGAGGUCUGCUCUUAUCCAACUGCGGUUACAAUGGAAUAAACAUAUCUUUAACAAACCAGAGAACAGUUGAAAAAUUUCUGCAAUACUUGCAAAGGCAAAUACUCCUUCUAAAUGUAAGAUUUUUAAUUCGAACUCCAAUUAAUUGUAAGAAAUAAUCUGUAAUCCGAUAAACCAGUAAUCACCCAAAAAUCAGAAUUAUUGUAUUCCUAUAUUAUCAUAAAUUCAAACUCCGCUCUACAACAUUGAUCCUUUUAUAAAGCAUUUAAUUAAUUGGAUUCUUUAGACACGAAUGCAUAGCAGCCAAAAAGAGAAAAUACUUUAAAUCGAACAAAUCAAAAUUUUCUUUACAAAUGUUGACUUUCAAUGAAGAAAGUCGAUUUCAAAUCCAUAAACAUCGGCAAUGAAUAAAAUAUGAGAUUAAAAAAUAACAAUUUGUUUCUGUUAUAGCAGUCUAGUAUAGCCGUCUUAUUGCACUUUUUUCCAACAACUUUCGAUCAAUUAAGUAUUUUACAUUUUACUUGGCUUGCUAGAAUUUGUCUUAGGAAUUAUCCGCGCAAAGCUAAUACAUUGGAAAUCUGGAUAAUCUAUACGAAAUGUUUCUCUUUCAUUCAAUAUAGCGUACGAAUUUUUUCCUCCCAACUAAUUAUCGUACGAAUUGUUUAGAAAAUAUGAUAAAUUGAAAUUAUUCUAUUUGAAGUGAUUGUAUAUUUAAUUUAGUUUUAGAACAUUGGUACAGUAAACAUUUGUAUAGUAAACAUUCGGAUAAUGGAGGUUCUACUGGAAAAUGGAAUAUAUAUUUUUGUGGAUAAGGAUCGACUAUGCGGAGAAUAUUAUCGUGCUUUCUCGUUAACUUUAAGGGUGCCGAUCUCGUGUUCGAUAUUUAAGAAACGGGUUUCGUUACAGCGUAGACACGGCUACCUGCAACAUUUUCUAUAUUCUUCUACUUUCAUUCGUUCGAUACAAUAUGGAGCUCAAGCCUUAAUAAAUGAAUUUAAUCGACCGGAAUUCACUUAAUUGGAUGCUGGAUACACGUUUCGCUCGAUACUCCCAAAGAGGAGACGUAGGAUAUAAACGAGGACGAGCGAGGUUUCACAUCCUUGUACGAACCAAAUGGCUGAUUACUUUUAAAAAGGAGCAGUCAUUCGGCAGCAUGCCAGCAUCUACCAUUACCGAUGCUCGUGAUUUUAUCGAGAACGUCUAGCACAAUGUUGUACCGUGAACGAUCUGGGUUAAACAUACAUUCCAUACGUACCGCUACUUGACACUGUACUUUUCGUCAGGAAACAAGGGGAACAGGGGAGCAGUUGCCUAAUAGGUAUGUAUGGUUCUGGCCAACCUAAAUUGUAUCUCACAAGUUUCUUAUUAUAGAAUACAAACGAUAGAUAAUGAUAGAAACGUAUGAAAUACCUAUUCUUAAGUCCAAUCAUAUAGUAAUGAACGAAAGUAUUGGCACAGCCAACUUCCUUUCUAAAAUCCUGUACAAAUUUGUAAAAAAUGUGAUAUUUUAUUUAAUUCUCUAGAAAUAAAACAGCAUCUUAAUUACAAAUUCGAAAAUAAUACACAUGUAUAGACCGAAUAUUUCAUAAGCGCAACGAAUGGAAUCAUUAUUUUGUAUAAGUAAUAUUUCUCAACUUUGUCAGGUGAAACUUAGGUAUUCUAAUUAACUUGAAAUCAUAAAUACGUGUUGAACUUGGACCCGUUAAUGGAAACCAUGCAAAUAACGAUUUCUAAAUUUCAGUUCCCUUAAUUAUCUCUUAUAAUUCUUAAAUAAGCAAGUAAAAGUGAAAUUUAAUGACAAAAAUAAUAAUAUAUGUAUCUGUGAUGUACAUCAUACGACACGUAUCGUUCAAAGCUGACGUCUUAAUAUGCAACGACAAUUAUCCACUUCAGAGCGAAUUUCUAUUGAAAAAGCAACAACUAGAAAGAACGUCUAUAAUUCUUACUAAUAUUUCAACGUAAUCAACGGAAUGCGAAUGAAAAUUGGAGCGGAACGAUCGUUAAAAGAAUAUUAAUUUAAUAUCGACCUAAAUUUCACACCAGCUUCGUUUCUGCAGCUGAUUUGUUUAUUGUUUAACUUGUCUAUCCCAUUCUUUGUCCUUAAGGCCAGUAUCACUGAGAAAAAAUUUAGAAAAUCAGUGAUUGAUUGAAAAAUGAUUAGUAGCACUUUCAUUAACAAAGUUGUUUAUGAUAGUGUUAUAAUUAAAUUAUAAACAUAAUGAAAUCGUUAAAUUUAGGUGAAAAAAGAACCGACAAAAAAUGUUAAAUAAACCUUUGAAAUUCCCUUUCAUACCCACGGUAUUAGAAAAUAAAAUUCAGCAAUGUAAAUUGUCUUGAAAAAUGCAAAUGUAAAAAGUUAUAUCAUGAUAAAUUAAAGUUAGAUCAAUUUCGUUGAAUGCGCAUGGAAGUAAAGAGGAGAAUAAGUGACAACCAGAGCGGAAUGUACGUAAUGGAGCAUACGAUGCGCUACAAAAAUGUAGGAGGGGCUUGGUUUUCGUAACAGAACGAAUAUGGAGCGAAAGUCAGUUUGGAUCUGUGCUCUAGCCUCGAACAUGUUCAACGUGAACGUGAACGUGAACUCUUUUAAGUCAGUGACACUGUAAGACAACGUUCUGAAUAAAUACUAAUAAAUUAUGUACAAAUUUAGUAUAUAUACAUAGGAAUAAAUAUAUGUAUUUUGCUGUAACGUAAGAAUAAGUAUGUAAUUUCAUCAGAUAA